Long non-coding RNA from Metopolophium dirhodum (rose-grain aphid), 4172 nucleotides. RefSeq lists it as uncharacterized. The record is from RefSeq and is a predicted model, not a curated record. The transcript is spliced from 4 exons. Lineage: Eukaryota; Metazoa; Arthropoda; Insecta; Hemiptera; Aphididae.
GCCACAAAUAUAAACGGACAGUUCGUUAAACUGGAUAAGUUGUAACACAAACUCGCAAAUUUCGUUUGAUCAGGUUAUUUUCAUAAAAUAUUUCGAUACUUUCAAGUUUCAGCUCAUCGGAGUGAGAUGAUUAGAUAAAGAUGGAUGAAGAUAGCUGUUUCUUCGGCGAUGGCGGCACUCUAGCUACGUUUCACCGGAAGAGUAGAUGUUUAUGCUUCUGGCUGUAUUCUGGAGCGUUUCCUCAUGGGCGUCGCAGUUCACACACGUCACGGAUUCCGCCGAAGGAGUCGAUAAUUAAAACUGAACUUUUGGAUCGGAGAUAUGAAGACGCGCGCUGCAUUUUCCUUGGCGGAGAUGCACAGCUUUGACACUAGACAAUAUUAUACACUCGAAGGGAACGCGUUUCGCCGGAAGAAUAAAUAAUUACAUAUGGCAUUCGUCAGUGAACAUUUUCAAACUGGGAAUAAUAUAUCAUAAGCCGAUUGAAAUGUGUGAACGUUUCAGUGUUUCGAAGACUAAGUUUCGUAGCAGAUUUUGAUUCCGUCACGGGGUAUGUAUUUUCUUAUUUCUCAGUAGGUUUUUUUUUAUUAUAGUUAAUUGAUCAGGGGAUGUAAUGCCUGAAAAUUUUCAAUAUUUGUAUUGUAACUAUACUGGUAUAACACUAUUCGGGCUAUCAAUAAAGUCGUGUUCAAAAUUAGAAAAUUGGUGAGGUAUGAUAUUUUUUUAAGCAAUUGUUUCGAGUAGGGAAUUCGCUCAUUGAUAUUUUAAUAUUUUCACCGAUAAUCAAGUACGAUGACUUGUAGGUAACUAGAGACUGAGUGAAUAGGAAUUAGGAAGUGUGUGAUAUGGCGAAGAUAAGGAAAUGGGUCAACAAGAUUUCAGAAUGUUUGGUGUAUGAAAGGGAAAGAUGAAAAAGAAAUGUAAGGUUAGGGUAGGUAAGUGGAGUGAGAGUAGCAGAUAUGAGAAUAAUAAGUAAGGUGUUAAGGUACAAAAGAGGAUAGAAUAAGAAAUUAAUUAAUUAAGGGUAGUGUACAUAUUGUAGUGAAAACAAGAGAGAAUAGGUUUAGGUGGUUCGGUCACUGUAUGAUAAGAGAUAGUGAGAGUGGCUAUAGAAGUUAAUUUAGGGGAGAAAUGAUGGACGAGAAGACUGAAGAAGAGGUGGAUAGACAGAAUACCGAUCAUAUGGAGGUGUGGAAUGAGAGUGGCUGAACCUGUAUAUAGCUGUGAGAGACGGGGGAAGAAAAAGUGUAAAGGUAGAAUAGUUAUGUUAACAAUGCCGAAUACGUAGGAAAAGAUCUUGAAUUGCAAAGGCCCUAUUGACUCUUUGGCUUCAACUAACCAUAGGUUUACCUAACUAACCUUCUUAUGACUCAUUAGGACAUUUUGAAUAAAAAGAUCCUGAGUCGCAGGUUGCCGAACUUAAGUGUUUGAUUAUCAAGUUGAUCCUUUAAUUGUUGACACCUUAAUCCAUGCUAUGGAUGAAGCCCAUAGAUAUAAAGAUAUGGAUAGUCCACGCCUAUGUUAAAUACAUUUGAGUCCGCGUUCCCGGACGGGAAGGCAAUUGAGCUUCUUUAUAUUGAUAGUCGAUAGUCGAUACUCGAUAUAAGUAUACUUUAUUUGGCCUCAAUUUAUUGUUCCCCUCGAAGACCGCUGAUAAGACCAUUAUGUCCUAUGCAUAUCUUUAUUAUCUAUGAUGGAGCCAUACCCAGCUCACUCGUGUAAACUUGUUGCCGGUUGGGAUGUCAGCGCACUAUUUGUUUUUCAUCUUUGACCCACGCGUACCAUACCAAAUGUACGAUUAAGAAAACACUAAAAUGAUUGGGUCAGAGAGAGAAAUAAAUGGUGCGCUAAAAAUCUGACAUCCUCUUAGUGUUAUCAAGUUGAAGAAGCAGUUGAUUGUUGACAAUUUGACAUUUAACAUUAACUGUGGUAGGUAUUAUGAUUGGAAGUAAAAGUAAUUAGCAGGGCUGUGAAUUUAAUGCAAUGAAAAAGUGUUAAAUAUUUGCCUGCAUGUAUGCACUAAAAACAGACAAAUAUAUGCACUGAAAUAUUCAAAAGUAUGCACUUAAAAUUCAAAAAAAUACUGAAUGAAAACGUUUUUAUUAACAUUUUUUUAAAUUAAUAAAUUAUAAUUCAAAUUGGUUUACAAAAAAAAUUCUUUAUUUACACACUUGGUAGGUAGGUAUGUAGGUAGGUAACGGAUGAACCGAAAAUAUAAAAACAUUUUAAGAAAAUAAGCAUAAAUACAAAGAAAUCAUGAAAACAUGCAAUUAUAUUAACUAACCAAAAAAAAAAAAAACGCAUAUUGGUAACGGUGUUGUAAUAAUAGGGAUCUCCCAAAAAAAAUACGUACUAAUUGUUCAAACAAAUCAUAAAAGCCAACUGUAAUAAAUAUUAAUUUAUGAAAAAGUAUAUUAAAAAGCAUUAUUAUUAUAAAUGAUACAAAACUAUGAACUAUGGACCGUGACAUAAUAUAGGUAUUUCUAUAUUUUUAGCUCCAUAAUUUCUGUUAAAAUAUUAGGAAAAUGUAUUAAGUACCAUAAAAGUGCUAAAUUUGAGCUAUUACUUAAAAUAUUAUAUUCAUAACAAAUUAUCAUAGAAGGUUAGGUACUGUUAUUCCACAUACUUAUUAUACUUUUAUUUUAAUUUAACUACAACAUUCUAGUAGAGUCUGAUAAAAUUUGGUUCCACGACUUUGAUCAUACAAACUUUAAAUACUAAACUAUAGGUCUGAAAUUUAGUUUAUAUAAAUGUAAAUAAUCCAAAACAUAUAUUGCUUCAAAAUAUAAAAAUAAAGUGUCUUGUAUUGUAGUAGGUGGGUAACUUUCAAAAAAAAAAAACUAAAAAAAAUCAUACUUGAAAUCUAUGUACAAUAUACGUAUAUUGAUAUAAAAAAUUAACUUUAAAGUUCAAUAUAAUACAUUAUAACAGGUGUUCAAAUAAACAUUUCAUACCAAAAAUUUUGUUAAUUCACACAAUCUCUCUUCAAUUUUAAAUUUUUCUUCAAAUUAUCUACAAAAUAUAAAUGUUUAGUAAAUUGGAAGACUUGAUUAAGUAUUUAAUCAUUUAUCUAAAAUAGAUGUGCCAGGUCGCCACAUUACUAUAUCGAAGGACCAUGGUGCAAGUGUCGUCCAUAAAUAUCAUAACAUAUAUUAUAUUAGAAAUACAAACUUAAUAUUUCACUAACAGUAAAUAUUAUAAAAAAAUAUUACGAAAUGUACUAUACUCAUAUUAUAUUAUGAUUGUAUUAGUUACAAACUCUUGAAUUAAGAGUUAUGUUUGAGGAUUUAAUUAAUUUCCUAAAAGGUUGCCUAAGUAAGUUGUGGGACCUGUAAUGAAACGCAAUUGGUUGGUAAUAAAUUGUUUUUAUUUAUUGAAAUAUCAUGUUUUGAACCAAUAUCAUCAUCUUAGUUUUGUAUAAUUCAAAUGUUUUGUAUAACAAUAUUUUAUAAAUUAUUUUAAUUAUACUCAUUAGAGUGUACAAUAAAAAUAUUUAAUGGGGUUACAUAAAGGGGUGGGAAUGCGAACAUAUAACUCACAGUUUUGUUCGGUAGCUGGUGAAGUAUGCUCUGCUCUCGAUGGCGGCGUACUUUCAAUAACAACGGCUCGUACAGUGGCACGGUAACACUUUAUAGUGACUUACCGGCGUGGACGGUGAAUGGGGUGUAAAUGAGGACGGCGGUUAGGUUGGCUCGGCGUUCUCGACUCGCUCAAUUGAGUAUAGCGAUCGGUCGGCGGCGGCGAUGGCUCGGCGUUCUCGACUCGGCUGACGGAUUGACUACUGCGGUGCUUGGUAUUGGUCGUCUCACAGAGUGUACGUAGAGCAACGAGCGACCACAGCACACUUUUUCAGAGCGCACGGUCGUUCGGAGCGGAAAGGGAAAGCCGGGACAGACUAUUGAGCAUCCGUGUAUAACGAUGUUUUACUAUCGUCCGGCUCACUAAUAUACCGCACUCAGCGGGGAAAUUGUUGUUAUGGGCGUGUUUCUGGCUGGUACUUAUCAUAGUCAUGACUUUCACGGGAUGCAUAAAACUCAUUAGAGUGUACAAUACAAAUAUUUAAUGGGGUUACAUAAAGGGGUGGGAAUGCGAACAUAUAACUCACAGUUUUGUUCGGUAGCUGGUGAAGUAUGCUCUGCUCUCGAUGGCGGCGUACUUUCAAUAACAACGGC